This 1383-nucleotide long non-coding RNA is filed under the name Coturnix japonica (Japanese quail). RNAcentral describes it as "lncRNA (ENSCJPG00005008044.1)". Lineage: Eukaryota; Metazoa; Chordata; Aves; Galliformes; Phasianidae. The record is from RNAcentral.
AUGAAGGAUGUGCAGGUCACUCACCUUGGCUUGGGCAGCCCCCACGGCACCAAACGGAGCCCACGGCACCAAACGGAGCCCACGCCGGGACCUGUGAUGCUGCCCUGCAGUUCUGUGCCGAUCACUUCCCAUACAGACAGCUGUGUGCACACUGAGCUGCCGGCACUGCCGCUAUCACUUGCAGCUGUGACAGUGGUUCCCGGUGCGUGCCGUACCUCACACAGAACUCGUAGGUCAGCCUUCCAUCGAGCACCAACCAAACCCAGCCGGGGACACCCAACGAGUCCUGAACUCAGCACACCAACAAACUCAAAGCCCACGCGUAUCUACUUACUAUUCUCCACACACACCAUCUCCGUGCCACGCUUCCCCGCCUGCAGGGGGGCUCCCCUCAACUCGCUGCACAAGCGGCCUAUGGAGCUCGGACCGACCUCACGGCGCGGAGCGGACAGCGCUGUGCCCCGCACCACGGCAACGCUGCGCCAACAGCGGAGCGACUCCAGCCGUCCCGGGCCCCAGCGGCACAACAACACAGCGGCACAACACAGCGGCACAACAACGGAGCGGCACAACAACGGAGCGGCACAGCGGAGCGGCACAGCGCAGUGCCCCGGCCCGUCCGCACGGGACAGCCCCGAUCCCAGCGGCGAGUUGUCGGGGGGCGGCGCCGCCUCCAAACUUUCCCGGCCGUGGAGCUGCUCCCGCGCGGCCCCUCCAAAGAGAGCCGGCCCGCCCGCAACGCGGGGACACACCGCGGCCCCGGGGUGCCCAGCGCCGCGCACGGCCGCGUCGGAGCACGGCACGGCAUGGAACACACAACACAGCACAGCACACACAGCACGGCACGGCAUGGAACACACAACACAGCACAGCACACACAGCACGGCANGGCACGGCAUGGAACACACAACACAGCACAGCACACACAGCACGGCACGGCAUGGAACACACAACACAGCACAGCACACACAGCACGGCACGGCACACACACACAGCACGGCACGUACCUGCCGCACCGCAUCGCGCUGCUCCGUUCCGGCGGGGCCCCGCGGCGCGCGCCUCGCGCGUGACCGACACCGCGAGGGGCGAGUGGAGCGCGGCGCGCGCCCGGCCGCCCUUCCCGCAGAGUCGCCUUGGAAACGGCGCGCGGCGACACCGGGGGGAGGAGCGGGCGGCGGUUUAAAGGGGGCGCGCGCGCGUGCUCGUCCCGCCUCACGUGGGCGCCGCCGAGCCAAUGGGAGACGGCGGACGGCGGGCGCCGUAGUACUACGGCCCGGGGAAGGCGAGGCGCCACAGCGCGGGGCGGGGCCGGGCCGGGCGGCGCGCAGCGAUCAGGGCAGGACGACACGCCCACAGAGCCGGCUGAACCACGGCGGGAGGUGA